AUGGCGCAACAGUGGCUUGGCGGUGCCGACGUCUCACUGCAAUGUGCGUUUGAACUUCGACAUCGAAGAAAGACAUCAAGAUUAACUAGGAUGGAACUGGCCACAUACUGCGCACAAGAGGAUAGUCUGCAUCUGCGUUGGCUAGAAGCUCGUCGGCGCGGGCGUCGUCCGCUGCGCAUGGCGGCGAUGGUGCAGGACAGGCUGGGCGGCUGCGACGUACGUCCGGGCGGGCAAAGGCAGGAAGAUCGAGUUGAUUCCCGACGGCUGGGGAUUUGGAUGCCAGCGAUGUUUUUCACGAAGGGCCUGGACCAGGUCGCGCUCAAGUUGGUGUGGAAGGUGAGCAGGCAGCGACGGCCUCAUGACACCGCCGGAGAAGUUCAGGAGCGGUCACGUGCUACGCGCGUCGGUGCCGCUGCGCGCCACAUACGGGAGCACCUCCACAGCCUCCGACGUGGACAAGUCCUCGAACGCCGAGGAGGUCGAGCUCUGCAGCUGCGGCAGUUACUCCGUCGUAGGCCUCGCCCCGCCGCCGCAUGGCCGUGCCCCGUACCGGUACGGCAACAUGCCCGCCGCCGCCACGGAUCGCCACAGGCGACGCAGACGCCGCCAACCAGUGCAGAGCGUGGUCGCGUUCCCCGCGGGCUAUACGGACGAUCGCUUCGCGUGAGGUCGCCUUUCAUGGCUGCCACCAGCGUCGGCGGGAAUGACUCUCCGAUGACACCCGAGGACUCCAUAGUGGUUUGUACCUCUUUUAUGAUUGACGAACUCACCGCUGUUCAGCUUCCCUACUAG
This 792-nucleotide ribosomal RNA is filed under the name Triticum aestivum (bread wheat). Its description in RNAcentral is "partial small subunit ribosomal RNA". Lineage: Eukaryota; Viridiplantae; Streptophyta; Magnoliopsida; Poales; Poaceae. The record is from RNAcentral.